This is a long non-coding RNA of Monomorium pharaonis (pharaoh ant), 11050 nucleotides long. RefSeq lists it as uncharacterized. The record is from RefSeq and is a predicted model, not a curated record. Lineage: Eukaryota; Metazoa; Arthropoda; Insecta; Hymenoptera; Formicidae. The transcript has 2 exons.
UCGCCGCUGGUGCGGAAGGGUGAGAUCGGGGGACGGGGUGAAGAAGCGGGGGGGAAGAUAGAGCCGAGAGCGGAUCUUCGGACCCGCGCUCUCUGCUUCGAGGGAUAUAUCCGGCGGUAUAACGAGAUAUAUGCGCGGUGCCCCGGGGACAAUUUCGUCCUCUCCCGCGAACAUUAUGCACGCGGGACGAGUCGCCGUAGCCGCCGCCACCCCCCCCCCCGGGCCCCGUGCGAAAAAUUGUCUCGCGGGGACGUCGUCGCGCGAAAAAAUGCGCGCCGCAUGCGAAUUCCUGGGCGCGCCGCGCGAUGAAAGAGGAUAAUAAGUCAGGCGGUAAUUCUCCUCCUCUCGCUAUCGCGUGUUGCUAUCUACCUGGUAGUGUGGUGGUGUUGCUAUCCGCCGCCACCCUCUCCCCCCCUCCUCCCUCUCUCUCCUUCUCUCGACGAUUAUUCGUUCGCGAGAUAAAUCUUUCGCGCGAGUUUUUACCCCCGCGAUAAUAUCAGCAUUAUCGUCGUUUUUUUUUUCCGUUGAUACGUUAAUUUAGCGGGCAUUAAGGGCUUUGAAAGCAACCUCCUUUUAUCGAGAAGCUUCUGUUAAACGACGAUACGUAUCGCGAAACACGUCUCAGUAUAUGCACUUUGAUUUUCUCAUUACUUUUACAAAGUACGAAAAAAUUCUUCGAUGGCUAAUAUAGAAGAUAAGUGUUGCAACGAAUUGCAAUGUUCAAAGUUUUUCGAAAAAACCGAGUGUUAAUUUCAACGGUGUACAUUGCGCAAACGUUCUUUUACAUGGAGAAAGGAAAAGGGGACAGCGUGGGAAAGUCCGGAGAUGAGGCAACGCAUGAUUCAGCAGUUUCCUUAUUAACGGAUCAAUAGUUAAUCGUGCGAGUAUUCUUCGCGCGUCACGCGAUACGCGACAUUUCAGUAGUGUGAAAUUUUUAUGAGACGCCGCCAGCCGGCGGCCGCGCGGCGACCGACGGUGCGGUAUCGAUUAAUACAUCUGACUGUCACCUUCCGUGAUUAUUCUAAUGCCCCGCGGCUAGAUUCAUCCGGCCGCCUCCGGUCGCCGUAAUCCUGUUUGGUUUUCCCCCCCUCCUCCUACCCCUGGCUGUCCUGGCGUCGUCGGUCGCCCGACUUCGUGAUGCACGUCGACGUUUCGCCGCAGGCGGCGAACGUUGUUUGCGCGACUAGGUGGCGACCUUAAAAACAUCACGUAACCUCCCGAGACGCGAGCUGUAUUUUUAGCGGAACAAGUGUAGAAAUUGCUAAAGCGUAUAUAGAGUUCAUAAUUAUCAUCGCCAAAUGUUAGAGUGCAUUCCCUUUCGUACCCGGAAGAAAUAAAAAAGAAUGGAGAUUAUUUUCAAUUUUUAAACAUACGCUCGCUUUUAAAUAGACACUGAUCAUAUUACAGAUCUUCACGCGCGAAUAUAUACGUAUAAAAAAAAAAAAAACGACGAAAGAGAUACCGAAAAGAAAUUUUAUAUUUACGUCAGGUGUUUCGACAGAGUUUUGUUUAAAGAUUCAAAACAUAUGUUGCUGUACGAUCGUUUAAUUCGAAAUUUCUUCGUAGAUCACGAGUUUAAGGGGAUUUAUGAAAAUCCAAAUACUUCAUGUUUAAAAAUUAUACAGAAUAUUAUUUAAAAAGUAAAACUAAUAUUACAUUGAAAAAAUUGUUACAAAAAGUGUUAAUUAAAAACUAAGCUUCGUAAGGUUUCAAGAUUUGUAAGGUUUCAGGUGUAGGUGAGUAUGAAAUGUCGCAGGCUAGCUGUCACGUCCGACAUUUUUAACGAUAAAAACUUAAGAAUAAAAUAACUUAUAAAUAGUAAUGCAAAUCUUAUUUAAAAAAUCGUUAAUUAAUUUUACGCAGUUAAAAAAUCACAGUGAUGAAAUGCAAGUACGUACUAAAAUUUAACAGAUUGUUAUGUUCUCAACAAUAUUGCUUUACGGCACAACUUACUAUAUUCAAAUCUCCUUCUGUUUGUGGUAACUAUCUAAGUCUAGACCAACGUUAUAAUUGUGAGAUUUUUAAUAUAGUUUAAACAAACCAUGAUUUAUAUUAACUGUAAUAUGAAUAAUUGUAAAAAUAUGAUUAGGUCUCAAAAUGUCUAUAAAUUAUAGUGGUAUUUACAGUUACUAUUUUUCUCUUUCGGUGUAAGAAGAUGAACCUCGCCCUGCUUUACCGGAGCAUCGUCUCGCCUUUAAUGUAGGCGUCGCGGGAUCCAGUUAACUCCUCAGCAAAAUUCUCGUCGCAAGCUCGGCGGCAUGGCUCCGGGGGUGUCACGCCGCUUUGCGGACGGGGGUGGCGGUGACGGCAUGCAGACGGAAGGUAGGGUGAGGCGACGCGGCGUUCUGGUCACGAAAGCCUCCGAGGGCACACGCGCCUCCGUCCCGGAAUCCCAUGGCACCGAGAAACUUCCCUUCCGAAGGGAAAGUGCGCCAGGGGAAGGGGGUAUUCUCUCGAAUAAGCCGCGCGUGAUGUCGAAGCCUCGGAUCGCGAUUCACGGACACGGAUUGGCGGGUCGCGCGAUUAAUUGAGAACUUUCCUUUCGACUAAAAAUCGACAAAGGGGAUGAAAUCAACAAAAGACGCUGUUACGCAGGGAGGGUUUUGAGAAAAUCAUCUCUUGAGAGAAAGUUAUUGUAAUGUUAUAUAAAAUGGCAUGUCGUGUUAAAUUUAUUUAAAAUUUUUUCCAACUUCCCUCAGAAUCGCGUCGAGUGCGGAGAAUUGAGAAAAAAAUAUGCUGUACAAAGACAACAAAAAUGAAAUUAAAAAAUUUCAAAAUCUAAUGAAUUAGGAUAACUGUCCUAAUUCCUGCUGCUUUUUUUUUUUAGUUGUACUUAGUAUUAGAAGAGAAAUUGUAAAAAUUUUAUAUAUCAAGAUUAUUUUAAUGUUAAAUUACAAUUACCAUAUAAAUGUAAGUAAUAUAAAUGCGUUGCGCAAUAAAUAGGGAGGCAAUAUUAAAUAUAUGCGGCAGUAAUUGGAACAGUUAUGCUAUUGUUACAUAAUGAAAUUAAUAUACUUUAGAAAAUAAAACGGUCAUAGAUACAAACAAUCUACAACUGAAUUAAAUACACAGUUAACCUAUAUUUGUCAUUACAUUUAUACUUUAAUAUAUUUCUUAAUUAGAACAACUUUUUAGGUAAUAAUAAAAUAUAAUAAGAGCUAAAAGAAAUGCGCGCGCGCGCACAAGUAAGGAGGAAAAGCAAACAGGCGGCGAUGGGAAAGGUUUGUUUGUCAGAAGUUGUCGGCCUCGCAUAACUCUCGGGGCUUAUGCUACGGAUAUACGUCAAUCCUCCGCGCGCGUGAGCGAGCAGGCGAGCGAAAAUCCACAAGGGGGUGGGCGUAACGAGGGGGAGGACGACGAGGCGUCCUCGUUUCGGAGAGCCCCGAGUCCUCCGUUAAAUUAUUCCGGGGCGCUUUCCGCGCGCGCGACGAAUGGACCGGCGAGACGUUUUAAAGAGUCCCGCGAGAGAGUCGGCCGCCUAUAAAUACGCGGGUUAAGGAAACGGUUAAAAUUAGCACCUGCCCGGCGCGUUGCGUCGCGUCGCCUGGCGUCUUUAAGAAGCGGGCUUGAAUUUUCAACGCUGCUCAUCGCCCGGAAAUGAAUCGGCGGCAGGUACUAUCGUCCGUUUUCUCAAUCUCUUCGAUGACAGGAUAUAUGAAUUUCAAAUACGCGCUAAUCCCUGUGGAAUAAUAGCGAUACCGUGUAGCAUCUUUGCAAUUACAACAAGCGAAUAACAAUAAAAAUUUUGGAAAUAAUCAUACAAGAGCACAACACCUUUUCCUCCCCCUCGUAGUCGAACGUCGACGAAACUGAUUUUACAAAUUUCACGUUCCGAUGGGAUUCGAUUUGUGUAAUCGGUUUUUUUUUCUAAGAUCGAAAAUAACCGUAAAAUAUCGAACGCCCUGCCAAUUUCGCGCAAAUGCAUAACGCAGUUAAAGUUUUCGCCCCUCCGCGCUGUGUAUGCGCGGGUAUAAGUGUAUUUCCUGAUGAUAAACGAAUUGACGCGAAAUGAUAAAAUUGGCGAUGAAACGUGAGCACACAUUUGACGCGAUACAAUUGAAACUUCAUGACGCGGCGCAGGUAUCCGCACGCGCGAUGGAACAGUUAUAAUUUUUCAUGAACCUCCGGGUAAACGAAAUUAUUAGCCCGGUGACGAUCGGACGCGCCUCGCGUUUCGGUCGCCCGCGCCGAUGUAAUACUACUCAUCCGCCGCGGCGGGAAAUUGUCGCGGAUAUUUUUUCAUGCGUAUGCCGAUAUAAUUGAGUCCGUAAUUGCCGCGGCGGAAUCGGAAUCCGCGGGAGUUUUUUUUUUUUUUUUAAUGCUUUGUCGCGCGGCGUUCGACAACGCGAUACCUACCUAACUCGGGCGGUAUACUCGAUAGCGUUAAGGAAAUCAAACAAAAACGCGGGCGAAACAAAAAGCAUUCCGCGCGCGUAUAUCAUUUUAGAAAGAGAGAGCGAGAGAGAGAGAGAGAGACGCGCAUUAAAAUAGAAUAUAAUAGAAUAAAAUGGAACGAGAUAAAAUGUCGAAUAUAAAAGCGCAAGACUUUUUGUGAUGCAUUGUCGUCAUUAUGCGAGUUGUCACGCGGUGACAUUCAUAUUUUUAGCCAGCGCGACGUCCGCGAUCCUGCCGCGUGACUGCACAAAGAAUUCAGGAGAAGCCCAGAUGGGGGUGUCGCGGCGGCCUUUACCCUUUUGCCGUCUCGGGAGCCGACAGUUCUCGAGGAAAUUUCCUACUCCCUCUCCCUCGCGGCCACCCUUAACGCUGUCAGUCGAAGACACGCAGCCAGUCGGAUCAUUACUCUCGGCGUCUCCGAACUCCUGGACGGGAAUACUCUUGUCUGAACGCUCUCUCUCUCUCUCUCAUUCUCUCUCCUCAGGAUUUCAUCCCUCGAGAGAUUCGGGGCCCCGGGGAGAGGAAGGGAGCGACAGAAGCAAGGGGGAAGGGGAUGCAGGGAGGUAGACAGGAUCCGCAGGAGCACGCCACCGCUACUUUACGAUCAGGAGAGCGUGCAACCAGCCAGCCAGCCAGCCAGCCAGCCAGUCAACCAGCCCGCCAGCCAGCCAGCCAGCCAGCCAGCCACCCUGCCACGCCAUGGAAUAUUGAUAUGUAAAUAUAGCAGCCACGGUAGCGACGGCGGCAACGGCGGUGGCGGCGGCAGCAGCCCUGCAGCAGCGGUUAGAGGGGCGCUAGCAGGUUAACGAGCGGCUCGCAGAGUGGCGCGGUCGAGGGUAGGGGGUAGCGCGCGUGGGUGGGUGGCCGGGCGGUGGUUGGGAUGAGGUGGUUAGCUCGGCUGGCUCGAGGGGACGGCAGCGACGCGGCGAUGGCGUGGCGGUGGCGGCGCGGCGCGGCGGGCGAGCGACGGACGGGCGUGGGCGAGGCGCGAGGGGACGAGUUUGGGGUGAGAGUGUGUGUGUGUGUGUGAGUGAGAGAGAGAGAGAGAGAGAGAGAGCUGCGGGAGCGAACGAGGGAGGAGACGGUUGGGUCGCUGCCGGCAGUAUAACAGAGACGGCCGGGCGUGCCGCGGAGCGUGCCACCAAAGGGGAUGAGAAUUUUCCGGCGGCGGCGAAAGUACUGUCCGCGCGGCGCCCCCGCGAAAAAUCCGCGUAAAAUCCGCGACGCCGCCCGGACACGCUUGAAUUCGACGUCGCGAUUCCGCGAGUGCGACCGGAUCUUAUCAGAGAGACACUUUUUUUAUAGGCGCCGCGUGCGCGACGCGAGGACGGAUCUAGAGGCGAUAGAGCGGACAAUUGCAUGUCGGCGGUGUAUAGGGACAUGCCCUGCGGGACACGGCGUGGAACGGGGUGGUUGGAACGGGCCGCGGAAACACGGAGAGGGCGGGAACACGCCGGCCGAGCCGAGGGUUGACGAGACGGGGGGUGCGACGGGCGGGGCCGCGGGCCGCUGGAGGGUGACUACGGCUUUCCGCACGCGCCUGUAUAGGUGAAUACGUGUACGUGCGAGAGUAUAGGGACGGUCUGCGGGCGAGAGCACGUACGAGGGCACGGAGAGUCGAAGGGUAUCUUCUAUAGAUGAGAACGGGAAAGGGAUGGUGAGCCGUUCGGUCGAGGGCUGAGUUCGACAUCGAACUUCUCUCUCUCUCUCCCCCUCUCUCGCGCGUUCCCUUUUUUCUCGCUCUUUCUCUCCCUCUUCAUAUUCUUCUUUUUCCUCCUUCCGCUUCCACGAUUUUUCCACCACCUCUCACUUUUUUUCCUUUCUUCACAUCCCGCUCUCGUUCCUCGUCACUCCCCGCGGCUUUUCCCGUUGCCACCUUUGUCUUCACGCGUUGGAACGCGCGUUGGAUUUUUGACGGAAGCCCCGAGAAAGAGGGAUGAUCACGCGAGGCUCGGGAGACGGUCGAGUUUAUGCGAGUUGGUCGUGGGCGAUGCCUCAUGAAAAGGCGCUUUGUUACGUCUGUCGCUAAUGGAGGAGCAACGUUCGCUCGUAGGCUGCCUCUUGAAUGAAAGGUGUUCUUUUUUUUUCUACCGUUCCGCAGCGCGCGCCUUUCGUUAGCGGUCUGUGGCAUUCGUAUCUCGAAAAAUCCGCACUAUUCAAUUAUUCUGAUUUAUUAACGCGGGGAGAGAGAGAGAAAGAGAGAGAGAGAGAGAGAGAGGGAGAGACAGACGAAAUAUUAUAGAGAACACGUCGUUAACAAACUUAAUAUCUCCGUGAUUGAAUCUAGUGACAUUUUCAAGUGACGGAAUUAAUUCUUUUAUGCAUAUAACGCGAUUGAUUUUUUUCCUUGCAUUGAGAGAGCGAAAAGCGCAUUUUUUUCCUCAAAAUCCAAAAUAAAUUAAAAUCUAAAAAUUGGUCUAAAAUCUUAUUAAAAUAUCAAAAUGAUUGACUUUCGAACUUAUUGAAUUCAGGUCAUUACGUUAAAUAUAGAUAAAACUGUAUUUUACUUGAAAUGUUUCAUUAGCUUCACUCUAUAGUUAAUAUCAAUAUGUCGUUAAACAAAUUUCUAAUAAAUAAUCAAUAAUGUGUACGAAAAAUAUUAAAUGCAAAAAGUAUUUUUAAGUCACGAUUAAGAAUCAAAUGAAGAUAGUUUCGAUAAGUUUCGCCCUGAGACAUUUUCGAUGACUCGUAAACGGUCUUUUAUAUCUCUCCUACCUUUAUAUCCCUCAUUUAUCUGCAUCUCUUUCGCCCUGUUUAGCACUCUACUUUUUUCUCUUUCUCCCUUCCUCUCUCUCUUUCUCUCUGUCUCGCCUCGUGGCGCGCACAGUUCUCAACCCCAUCCCUAUUCGCGGUCACAAUCAUACUUACCGACAAUAUUGCCCAAUUACUCUUCGCACGGUCGUUCUACACAUUUGCGCAUCACACGCACGCGAAUACAAUACGCGGUUCCGAACGCGUUUUACGAGAAAUAUGGUUAAAAAAAUAUCUCGCUCGACGCGCCCGUACUAAAUUCAGCGAAUUUAUUGCAUUAAUUUAAUUCUCGCGGGGCGGAACGCGCUGUGACGUCCAACUGACGGGACAUAAUGAAAAUUAACAAUUAGCGAGUUGUGGCACGUAACAGUGCCUGAAGUUAGUCACGAAGGUCUAUCUAGGUCUAUCUUCGUCUAGAAGAAUUUUACAGUGCGCAAUAAAGACGCUGAACUUCACUUAAAAAUGCAUCUAGUUCAACAAUAUUGCGCAUCGAUGACAUAUCAAAGAUUUAUAACUUUCUUCCGUCAUUUUUUUAACUAUAUAAAAUAUCUCAAUAUGCCAUAUGCAUACUUAAAAAAAUUUUCUAUUUAAAAAAUAAAAAUGCUUAAAUAGAACUGAGUUUAUGAUGUAAGUUAUAAUACGUUGAAAUAAGGUUGUGAUAUUAAAUUAGAAUUGUGUCUUGUGAAUCAAAUUUUUUUUUCAUUGAUUUAUAUAAUUAUUUUCCUUAACGAUUCGAAUAUGGAUUCCGACUCGAUUGUCUUGGCAAUUUUUUGCUCUCGCGUAAGCGAGUCGAUAAACGAACUUCCUUUCCACAGUGUCUCGUAAGCGAUAUCUAGCAAUCGUUUAUCCUUGCGGCAUUGGUGCAGUUGCAACGUGAUAAUCGCGUCGCUUGGCAAACUGAUUCUAACACGCACGUGCACCGUUUUGUCGUAGUCAGACGUAAUCUAACGAAAAUGUAAUAUUGUUCGUGUAAAAAUCUUCCAAUGAAUAAACAAUUUCACUAUAAUUUUCGAUACUACAAUCAAUUAUGAAAAUAAUAGACAUCUAUUUUCACGCGGUAUGUUCUUAAGAAUCAAAAUGAGAGCGAAUUAAAAUAUCUUUUACCUGAUUUCAAACACCUGUAAUAACUAUGUAUUCUAUGCAAGUCGCAUCAUUCUUCUGAAUUUUGCAAGGAAAUAUAUAUUAUACACAGCAUAAAAACAUAUAAUUUUUAAAAUUAUUAAAAAACACAGCAAUUCUUGUUGCGGCGGAAGAAAUAAUAUUAUUUUAGUACAAAUAUAAAUUAUCGAUGUUCUCCGUACAUUAGUACGCGAUCGCGAAAUUCCUCGUUCCUGUUCUCACGUCGAGUGCCGGACUCGUCCUUCUUCCGCCGCAAGGUUGUCAAUGACGAAGACCUUAUCUACGCUCCGCAGCGCCGGCGGAGCUUUUUACGAUUGGCUCGGUCGUUAAGCGUGACCGUACCGCCGCCAUAAAGCCUGUCAAUCGUCGUGACGAAAAGCCAAAGAAACUAGAACGGGGAGAGAGCGAAGCCAAGCGAAAGAGAGUAUCGCGCGAAUCGAUUCGGCCGAGUGUAAAAGGUGUCCCUUACAUCGCGUUUAAAAAAGGUUGGCUCGAAAUACUAGCUCGAGCGAACUCUGCCCGUACAAAGAGAUGAUACCGAAAGAUACGAAUCAUCAGGGAAAAUUCAUUUUUCUUUCUCCUAAAUUUAUAAUUUGUUAACUGCGAUUUCCAUAUUAAUGCAAACAAACCUAUCGGAAUAUCUGUGAACAAAGAUUUUUGUAAAUCGAGAGAGAGAGAAAGAGAAUUCUUAAAAAAAAAAAAAAAAAAAGGAAAAAUCUGCUAGAAUUCUUUCGGGUAUAGAAUCCCAUUUCUGAAAUUACCUCGUUCCUGCUAUCCUCGUGCAUAGUCCAACGAUAGCUCUAACUUCAAAGGAUCGCCUUGGCAAGAGAAUUCUUCGGCUGGCUCUUCUGGUUGAGAGUCGAAAGCGUUACCGCGGCUCCUUUAACAUUUUCGGGGCGCUGCGCAUUCGCCGCCCGAGAUUGCUGCCGCUUCUCCGGCAGGUGGUUAAAGGGUUGGAUAUGCAUCGCACGACGACGAGAGGGAAGGGAGCUGAGAUGGGAGCCCGGGGAAGUCGGGCGGAAAAGGGGGGGAGAAGAGAGAGAGAGAGAGAGAGUUGGAAGCAUUGCCGUGGGGCUUCCGUUUACGGGCGUCGCGACGCCGACGACGAGCAGAGGGUAGGUCGUAGAGUCCUACGUUGGCUGGUGAGGUAAUCAUCCCAGCCGGUUACGAUGCUGUUAAACGUCGCUCCAUGAAGACCCUGUCCCUCCCCCCACACCCGCCCGACUCGCGCACCGACCGUCACCCUACCGCCAUCCACAGACUCCAGUCCUCUCAGCCAGUUUAACCCUUUCGUCGUCGUCGUCGUCGUCGUCCGUUCGACUUUCGCACGACCGUCGCGCUAAUUUUUCUUUCGCACGGGAUAUCGAUCACUGUCUUCUUUUUUUUUCCGGAUGCAAUUUGUAAGCUCGAUAAUUUAUCGUACGCGAGCUUUCUCGAAAUUAAGACCUGACGUUUUCUUGUAGUAUUUUUUUUGUCUCCCCCCCUCCUCCCGCGACAGAAUGAAUGACGAUACAUCAUUCGCGAACUUGGUUCCUUAUCAAUUUCUACAUUAUGUAUGUACUUUAUUAAUAAUAACGGUCAAAUUAAAAAAAGAAAUUCAGCUGUUACGAAUUAAAACUGUUGUUAACUAGGACUACUUGAUCUCCUUCGUCGACCGAUACAGGUCUGCAGUCUUCUCUAUUGUUAGGUAAAAUCUCCGAAGCUCGUUACGGACGGUUGUGCGUGCAACGUCGACGACGGCGUCGGCGAGGGGAAUGAAUAAAUUUGAGCGCUGGCGAUGUUCUUGCGCGCGCGGCUCGGGAUUUUCCGAGGAUCUUGGGAACGGUGUCAUCUCGUUAAGCUCGCGAAAGAGGACCCUUCAGCGCACACGGUGGAAGAAGGAGGCGGGGGGAGGAGGGGCAGAAUUCUCUCGGGGGAGGGCAAAUCCCGUCGCUCGUACGGCACACCUGCGCUCGUCGCCUCGUCAUCGAGGAGGCAUUACGACCCCCAGGGACGCUGUUCCUGCCAUUACAGAAACAAUAACAGUCCCCGGUAGAACGCGAGUUCCCGUCUCCGAGACAGAAUCUCCGUGUCGUUAUUUAAAUUUUUACCUCUGCCUUAACGCGUCAUGUUUACCGAAUUUAUUGAUUUAUAAUGAAACAAUUGGAAACGUAGCUGUUGCGUUUCUCAAACUUAAAAAAUAGAUAUAUUAAUACAGGGAAGAGUUACCGAAUGCGUAGCACUUAAGAUAUUUUUCAUUAUAUUAUUUCCUAUUUGUUAAUGAUUUGUACGCAAACCGAUCGUCUAUUGUAAAUCGGUCUUGCAUCGCCUUUGAAUGUAUCGAAUUAAAAUAAAAUAAAAUAAGAUUUCGCAAAAACUUUACUGAAUAUCAAUAAAAUCCUACCAAGAAAAUCCACGAAUUUCGAGGAUAAAAAAAUUCCAGGUUUUCCCGGUUUUCUUUUCUAAUAGUAAACGUUAUCUAUAUCUUGAUCAAAUUGUCGUCAUUGCGAAACCUAGGGAUGAUAAGUGACAAGCGUAAUAUAACAAGUAACUCACUCACCGACCAACACGUUGCCGUCGUUUUGCUCCUCUUCGCUUCCGAGUGUCCCUUUCCUUCACGUAGUCCUUCACCCUUGAUCGUACACACACACACUACCAUUGACACUCGACACGUAUCGUCGUACGCGAACGAGCGAACAAUCAAGUUUUAGAUCAUCGCGACACUGCAUUUACGAAUUUUACGAAACGCGAUUGGCCGCCGCCGCUCGAUUAGAUUCAUUCUUGAUUAGUUCUCGUUUACACGCAG